Magallana angulata is the source of this 734-nucleotide long non-coding RNA. RefSeq lists it as uncharacterized. The record is from RefSeq and is a predicted model, not a curated record. Lineage: Eukaryota; Metazoa; Mollusca; Bivalvia; Ostreida; Ostreidae. The transcript is spliced from 2 exons.
UAUCAUAUUAUGUAUCAAAUAUAAUAUAAUAUCAUACAAUAUCAUACUUAAGUAUACAAUAUAAUAUAAUGUGUUACAAAAUUGUGAUGUAUUAUGUGAUAUGACAUUGUAUCAUAUAUUAUGAUAUUGUAUUAUGUGAUCAAAUGCAAUAAUGUAUUUAACAUGACACUAUGUCAUGUCAUAUGUUACAAUAUCAUAUUGCAUCAUUAUUUAUUACAGUAUUUUAUUUUUAUUAUUAUAUGUGUGUAUCUUAUAUUAAUAUAUGAAAUGAACAUAUGAUUAUUAUCCAAUUUUUUAACAUAUGAUAUAGUAAUAUGAUAUUGUUUCGAAACAGUAUCCAUAGAUAUCCAAGAUCAUUAACUAUGAUUUUCAGGUAAUAUGAUAAAGGUGGUCUCAUAAAGGUGAUGCUUUAUAAAGGCAAGAAAGUGGCCCCUAAACGUGAUAUGUAUUGCAGACGACAUCCUAAUGUCUUUAUGUUUGAAAAUUUUGAAAUUUUUUUAGCUGCAUAAUCCUGUUCGUCCUUUAAUAUUUUUUAUGCCAUGCAUUUGAUCAGUCAUUUUUGCUCCCAGAGUAACUUUUAAACUUUGUCAAUUUCUUACAUGUGUACUUAUUAUCAAUGUUAUUCAUUAACAUUUAUUAAUGAAUGGUUCAUUCAAUACGUGAUCUUUGAUCAACUUUUUUUAUUGUUAUAUAUGAAUUAUGAAGAAUAUUAAGUAAAUCAAUUUUAAAAACUU